GAUGAACGCUGGCGGCGUGCCUAAUACAUGCAAGUCGAGCGAACGGACGAGAAGCUUGCUUCUCUGAUGUUAGCGGCGGACGGGUGAGUAACACGUGGAUAACCUACCUAUAAGACUGGGAGAACUUCGGGAAACCGGAGCUAAUACCGGAUAAUAUUUUGAACCGCAUAGUUCAAAAGUGAAAGACGGUCUUGCUGUCUCUUAUAGAUGGAUCCGCGCUGCAUUAGCUAGUUGGUAAGGGAAAGGCUUACCAAGGCAACGAUGCAUAGCCGACCUGAGAGGGUGAUCGGCCACACUGGAACUGAGACACGGUCCAGACUCCUACGGGAGGCAGCAGUAGGGAAUCUUCCGCAAUGGGCGAAAGCCUGACGGAGCAACGCCGCGUGAGUGAUGAAGGUCUUCGGAUCGUAAAACUCUGUUAUUAGGGAAGAACAUAUGUGUAAGUAACUGUGCACAUAUUGACGGUACCUAAUCAGAAAGCCACGGCUAACUACGUG
This 497-nucleotide ribosomal RNA is filed under the name uncultured bacterium. RNAcentral's name for it is "partial 16S ribosomal RNA". It matches the Rfam family "Bacterial small subunit ribosomal RNA", at positions 28 to 507 of the family's 1533-position model. The record is from RNAcentral.